ACUAACAAGGAUUCCCCUAGUAACUGCGAGUGAAGAGGGAAAAGCUCAAAUUUAAAAUCUGGCGGGCUCUGUCCGUCCGAGUUGUAAUCUGGAGAAGCGUUUUCCGCGUCGGACCGUGCACAAGUCUCCUGGAACGGAGCGUCAUAGAGGGUGAGAAUCCCGUCCAUGGCACGGACCGCCGAUGCUCUGUGAUACGUUUUCAAAGAGUCGAGUUGUUUGGGAAUGCAGCUCAAAACGGGUGGUAAAUUCCAUCUAAAGCUAAAUAUUGGCGAGAGACCGAUAGCGAACAAGUACCGUGAGGGAAAGAUGAAAAGCACUUUGGAAAGAGAGUUAAACAGUACGUGAAAUUGUUGAAAGGGAAACGCUUGAAGUCAGUCGCGUCCGACGGAACUCAGCCUUGCUUCGGCCUGGUGUACUUUCCGUCGGACGGGUCAACAUCAGUUUUGACCGGUGGAAAAAGGUGGGGGGAAUGUAGCGCCGCUUCGGUGGCGUGUUAUAGCCCCUCGCUGUAUGCACCGGUCGGGACUGAGGACCGCAGCACGCCUUUUUGGCCGGGGGCUCGCGCCCUACGUACCGUGCUUAGGAUGUUGGCAUAAUGGCUUUAAGCGACC
Molecule: ribosomal RNA, 611 nt
Filed under: Phellinus tuberculosus
Lineage: Eukaryota; Fungi; Basidiomycota; Agaricomycetes; Hymenochaetales; Hymenochaetaceae
Description: eukaryotic LSU rRNA
Rfam family: Eukaryotic large subunit ribosomal RNA
Source: RNAcentral